ACGGGAGGCAGCAGUAGGGAAUAUUGCACAAUGGGGGAAACCCUGAUGUAGCAACGCCACGUGUGGGAAGAAGCAUUUCGGUGUGUAAACCACUGUCGUGAAGGAAUAAUGCUGGACCUCGGUCCAGUUGAAUGUACUUUGAAAGGAAGCACCGGCAAACUUCGUGCCAGCAGCCGCGGUAAUACGAGGGGUGCAAGCGUUGUUCGGAAUCACUGGGCGUAAAGGGAGCGCAGGCGGAGAUGCAAGCAGUCUGUACAAUACCGGGGCCCAACCCCGGACCUGCAGACUGGACUGUUUCUCUUGGAUAGCUCAGGGGCUGGCGGAAUUCCUGGUGUAGCGGUGGAAUGCGUAGGGAUCAGGGAGAACACCGAUGGCGAAGGCAGCUUGCUGGGGACUUAUCGACGCUCAUGCUCGAAAGUGCGGGUAGCAAACAGGAUUAGAUACCCUGGUA
This 451-nucleotide ribosomal RNA is filed under the name uncultured Fibrobacter sp. RNAcentral's name for it is "partial 16S ribosomal RNA". It matches the Rfam family "Bacterial small subunit ribosomal RNA", at positions 341 to 792 of the family's 1533-position model. Lineage: Bacteria; Pseudomonadati; Fibrobacterota; Fibrobacteria; Fibrobacterales; Fibrobacteraceae. The record is from RNAcentral.